RNAcentral lists this ribosomal RNA (500 nucleotides) under uncultured bacterium. RNAcentral describes it as "partial 16S ribosomal RNA". It matches the Rfam family "Bacterial small subunit ribosomal RNA", at positions 29 to 523 of the family's 1533-position model. The record is from RNAcentral.
AUUGAACGCUGGCGGCAUGCCUUACACAUGCAAGUCGAACGGCAGCGCGGACUUCGGUCUGGCGGCGAGUGGCGAACGGGUGAGUAAUACAUCGGAACGUACCCUGUUGUGGGGGAUAACUAGUCGAAAGAUUAGCUAAUACCGCAUACGACCUGAGGGUGAAAGUGGGGGACCGCAAGGCCUCACGACGCAGGAGCGGCCGAUGUCUGAUCAGCGAGUUGGUGGGGUAAAGGCCCACCAAGGCGACGAUCAGUAGCUGGUCUGAGAGGACGAUCAGCCACACUGGGACUGAGACACGGCCCAGACUCCUACGGGAGGAAGCAGUGGGGAAUUUUGGACAAUGGGGGCAACCCUGAUCCAGCAAUGCCGCGUGUGUGAAGAAGGCCUUCGGGUUGUAAAGCACUUUUGUCCGGAAAGAAAUCGCGCUGGUUAAUACCUGGCGUGGAUGACGGUACCGGAAGAAUAAGCACCGGCUAACUACGUGCCAGCCGCCGCCGUAA